This 71-nucleotide microRNA precursor is filed under the name Agrilus planipennis (emerald ash borer). Its description in RNAcentral is "mir-252 microRNA precursor family". It matches the Rfam family "mir-252 microRNA precursor family". The record is from Rfam by way of RNAcentral. Lineage: Eukaryota; Metazoa; Arthropoda; Insecta; Coleoptera; Buprestidae.
UCCUGUUACUAAGUACUAGUGCCGCAGGAGCUCUCAUAAUUCUCCUGCUGCUCAAGUGCUUAUCAAUGGGU